This 413-nucleotide ribosomal RNA is filed under the name uncultured bacterium. Its description in RNAcentral is "bacterial SSU rRNA". It matches the Rfam family "Bacterial small subunit ribosomal RNA", at positions 917 to 1333 of the family's 1533-position model. The record is from RNAcentral.
GGGCCCGCACAAGCGGUGGAGCAUGUGGUUUAAUUCGAUGAUACGCGAGGAACCUUACCAGGGCUUAAAUGUAGGUUGCAUGAUCUAGAGAUAGAUCUUUCUUCGGACUACCUACAAGGUGCUGCAUGGUUGUCGUCAGCUCGUGCCGUGAGGUGUCAGGUUAAGUCCUAUAACGAGCGCAACCCCUGUCGUUAGUUACCAGCAAUUAAAGUUGGGUACUCUAGCGAGACUGCCGGUGCAAACCGUGAGGAAGGUGGGGAUGACGUCAAAUCAUCACGGCCCUUACGUCCUGGGCUACACACGUGCUACAAUGGCCGGUACAGAGAGCAGCCACUACGCGAGUAGGAGCGAAUCUUCAAAGCCGAUCUCAGUUCGGAUUGGAGUCUGCAACUCGACUCUAUGAAGCUGGAAUC